RNAcentral lists this ribosomal RNA (253 nucleotides) under uncultured bacterium. RNAcentral's name for it is "partial 16S ribosomal RNA". It matches the Rfam family "Bacterial small subunit ribosomal RNA", at positions 524 to 776 of the family's 1533-position model. The record is from RNAcentral.
UACGUAGGGGGCAAGCGUUAUCCGGAUUUACUGGGUGUAAAGGGAGCGUAGACGGCAGUGCAAGUCUGAAGUGAAAGGCGGGGGCCCAACCCCCGGACUGCUUUGGAAACUGUGCUGCUGGAGUGCAGGGGAGGCAAGUGGAAUUCCUAGUGUAGCGGUGAAAUGCGUAGAUAUUAGGAGGAACACCAGUGGCGAAGGCGGCUUGCUGGACUGUAACUGACGUUGAGGCUCGAAAGCGUGGGGAGCAAACAGG